GGACCAUUAGCUCAGGUGGUAGAGCAACUGACUCUUAAUCAGUGGGUCUAGGGUUCGAGUCCCUAAUGGUCCA
RNAcentral lists this transfer RNA (73 nucleotides) under Fenollaria massiliensis. RNAcentral's name for it is "Clostridiales bacterium 9401234 tRNA". It matches the Rfam family "tRNA". From Rfam's summary of the family: Transfer RNA (tRNA) molecules are approximately 80 nucleotides in length. Their secondary structure includes four short double-helical elements and three loops (D, anti-codon, and T loops). Lineage: Bacteria; Bacillati; Bacillota; Clostridia; Eubacteriales. The record is from Rfam by way of RNAcentral.